Fundulus heteroclitus (mummichog) is the source of this 387-nucleotide long non-coding RNA. RefSeq lists it as uncharacterized. Lineage: Eukaryota; Metazoa; Chordata; Actinopteri; Cyprinodontiformes; Fundulidae. The transcript has 4 exons. The record is from RefSeq and is a predicted model, not a curated record.
UGGAGGUUUUCCACUAAAAUCACAAAUAUCAGACGAUGUGUGACAGGACAGGCUAGUGGGCUACUUGCUGCCUGCGGGCGCCAUGUUGGUGAGGCCGGGUUUAGAUCAUGGUUGUUGUUUUUGUCCUUCUCAACAUCCCACAGCUUGUCUGAACUUCUGCUUCCUCCGCACACCUGGGCGACCUCACCAAUCACCACACCUGACCCUUGUUCGGUGUUGGUCUGUCCUGGCGUGUGGUGCCGGGGCCACUUUCUGUUGGCUCUCGUCUAAAAUUCAACUCUCCUUUCACAUCAGAAGCACCAAACAGAUUUCAUCGACGUGACAGGAGUUGAUGUUUCCCAGAAAGCACUUUAUUUUAUUUCAGGUUUAGAACAUUGUAAACAACUU